CAGUCGCCACGGGAAUACGUAGGGUGCGGGCGUCAAUCGGAAUUACUGGGCGUAAAGCGUGCGCAGGCGGUUUUGUAAGACAGGCGUGAAAUCCCCGGGCUCAACCUGGGAAUGGCGCUUGUGACUGCAAAGCUAGAGUGCGGCAGAGGGGGAUGGAAUUCCGCGUGUAGCAGUGAAAUGCGUAGAUAUGCGGAGGAACACCGAUGGCGAAGGCAAUCCCCUGGGCCUGCACUGACGCUCAUGCACGAAAGCGUGGGGAGCAAACAGGAUUAGAUACCCCGGUAGUCCCUGUCUCUUAUAC
RNAcentral lists this ribosomal RNA (301 nucleotides) under uncultured bacterium. Its description in RNAcentral is "partial 16S ribosomal RNA". It matches the Rfam family "Bacterial small subunit ribosomal RNA", at positions 509 to 807 of the family's 1533-position model. The record is from RNAcentral.